CGACAUGGAAACGAACAAGGCCA
This 23-nucleotide non-coding RNA is filed under the name Arabidopsis thaliana (thale cress). The record is from RNAcentral. Lineage: Eukaryota; Viridiplantae; Streptophyta; Magnoliopsida; Brassicales; Brassicaceae.